Molecule: RNA transcript, 3686 nt
Organism: Carya illinoinensis
Lineage: Eukaryota; Viridiplantae; Streptophyta; Magnoliopsida; Fagales; Juglandaceae
Gene name: pentatricopeptide repeat-containing protein At5g66520-like
Exons: 3
Source: RefSeq, a predicted model, not a curated record
AUGCUCUUAGGCCUGCAAAGAAUACCGAUAAGAAUUUUCCUUACUUAUAUCUAUUCUAACUGCUUCUUGGUAUAACAAUAUCAAUCUGUAAAUUUGUAUUUUUUUUUUUUUUUUGUUUUUUAAAGAUGGUUCACAUCAAAUAUUUUUGCUCGCUACAAGACUUCUUCGUUCCCAUGCAAUCAUAAACGUGGCUUACCACACGAACCUUCUAUUUUAUCUCUGAUAAUUCCUGAUCCCAGGUUCGCCGGAAAUUUUGUGGAGGCAAAGGGGCUAGCCUCCGGCUACAAUGGCGAGGGACUUGCCGAUGGGCCCUCAGCUUGAGCAGUUUCACGUUGAUAUCAACCGAGAUUUUCCGAGCCCUUGCGUAUGUUCCCAUUAAUCUCUCUCUCUCUCUCUCUUUCUGUGAUAUGUGUGAUUAUUGUGAUAUGGUUGUGAAUAUUGCUAUCUAGCUUUAAUUGGAAGCGGGUCUUUUGACUGAAAAGACGAUGUUCGAAGUGUAGGGGUAGUAACCGCUUACUCUCCACAAACACUCAGCUAAGGGGUAUUCACUAUACAUUGAUCGAAAAUAAGAGGUUCAAAGUAUAGGGGUCCUCACUGCUCAGGGAAUCUCACAAAGAAAAUGAUCUCACUCCAGCUCCUUCAAGCCGCCCCACAGCAUCUAAGCUCGCCCAGUUCGCACCUUUCACCAUUGCACGGUCUCGUGUCAUGCUCUUCCAUGUCUCAGCUCAAGCAGUAUCACUCCCAGCUCAUACGACUCGGCCUCUCGGAUGAUAACGAUGCUAUGGGCAGAGUUGUGAGGUUCUGUGCUAUCUCCAAAAAUGGUGAUCUGGGUUAUGCUCUACAAGUUUUUGAUACAAUUCCUCAGCCAGAUGCUUUCAUUUACAAUACCAUAAUGAGAGGUUACUUGCAAUGCCAACUCCCCAGAAACUGCGUUCUCUUGUACUCGCAGAUGUUGCAAGAAUCUGUUACACCCAAUGGAUUUACCCUCCCUACUGUUAUAAGAGCUUGUAGCGACGAUAAUGCUAUUGAAGAGGGGAAACAAGUACAUGCCCAUGUUGUAAAAUUCGGGUUUGAAGCAGAUGUUUAUUCUCAAAAUAAUUUGAUUUAUAUGUACGUGACUUUUCAGUCGUUGGAGAAAGCAAGAAUGGUCUUUGAUAAGAUGCUUGUGCGGAAUGUUGUGUCUUGGACCAGUUUAAUUAGUGGGUACUCACGGUGGGGGUUUGUUGACGAGGCUUUUGAAGCUUUUAAGCUCAUGCCAGAGAGGAAUUCUGUUUCCUGGAAUGCCAUGAUUGCAGCCUAUGUUCAGAGCUAUCGUUUCCAAGAGGCGUUUGCUUUGUUUGACAGGAUGCGAGCUGAAAAGGUGGUCUUGGAUAAGUUUGUGGCGGCUAGUAUGUUGUCAGCUUGUACAGGAUUAGGAGCUUUAGAGCAAGGGAAGUGGAUACAUGGGUAUAUCGAGAGAAGUGGAAUUGAAUUGGACUCAAAGCUUGCAGCAACUAUUAUUGACAUGUACUGUAAGUGUGGUUGCUUAGGGACAGCUUUUGAGGUUUUCAAUGGGUUACCCCACAAGGGAAUAUCUUCAUGGAACUCCAUGAUUGGUGGUCUAGCAAUGCAUGGGAAAGGAGAGGCUGCCAUUCAGCUCUUUAAAGAGAUGGAGAUGGAGAUGGUAGCUCCUGAUAGAAUCACUUUCGUGAACCUCCUCAGUGCAUGUGCUCAUUCUGGGUUAGUUGAGGAAGGGCGUCAUUACUUCCAUCAUAUUUUUGAAGUUCAUGGUAUUGAACCCAGAAGAGAACAUUUUGGAUGCAUGGUUGAUAUUCUUGGAAGAGCUGGAAUGCUGGAGGAAGCAAGAAAGCUUAUCAAUGAUAUGCCCAUGAGCCCUGACGCAAGUGUCCUGGGUGCUCUUUUUGGAGCUUGUAAAAUUCAUGGAAACGUUAAGUUGGGAGAGGAAGUGGGCAAGAGAGUAAUUGAACUAGAGCCCAAUAACAGCGGGCGCUAUGUGUUAUUGGCCAACCUAUAUGCCAAUGCUGGUAGAUGGGACGAUGUGGCCAAUGUGAGGAAACUGAUGAAUGACAGGGGAGUGAAGAAAGUUCCUGGGGUUUCCAUGAUCGAAUUGGAGGGUGUCCUCAAUGAAUUCAUAGCAGGAGAAAGGGCUCAUCCUCAAGCGGCAGAGAUUUAUGCCAAGGUUGACGAGAUGUUAGAGCGUAUAAGAUCUAUCAGCUAUGUACCUAACACAGAUGGAAUAUCUUGUUUUGAUAUUGAGGAGGAGGAAAAGGAGAAGCCCUUGUACUACCACAGUGAAAAACUGGCAAUUGCCUUUGGCCUGUUAAAGACUAAACCAGGAGAGACUCUUCGUAUCACAAAGAAUCUGCGAGUCUGUAAAGAUUGUCACAAUGCAACUAAGCUCAUCUCAAAGGUUUAUGAUCGCCAAAUAAUCGUCAGGGAUCGCAAUCGCUUCCACCAUUUUGGAAUGGGAGAGUGUUCUUGUAAAGAUUACUGGUAAACCCAUGAGUGCAUCUUCUGUUUUGCCUGAAUGGACAGACCAUCAUGUUGGUUGUCCCUAAAACUCAUCAAAAAGGGAUUACUAGUACAUACUUUAAGUAUUUAUACGUGCUCUACUUGGUUUCUUAGAAGAUGUAAUUAGCACACCUCUUCAUUGCUUAUUGAGGUUCCCUCAAAGCUCUAAGAAAAGAGCUAUCUAUGGUUUGGAUUGUUUGAGUUGGUUAUUGGGUGAAUCUUAUAUUUGUUAUGAGCUACUUGUGGAAGUGAGGUACACUACUACACUAAACAGGUCAUAGGUACCCAAAUUGUGACUGAUUACUACUCAUCUCUGUUGACACCAUCUGCAUGAGGGCACUUCAGAUGGUAACUAGUCUUCUGGCUCUCUAUAUGCUCAAAAGUUGGCACGUCUGCAAACUAAAUAUAUAUGGUUUGAAAAAGUGAAGUGGGAUGUGAGGUAUGAUCUUCUUGCUGAGGAGAUGAAAUUUAUGAUUUUAUAAGCCCUGUGAAAUUUUUCAGGGCAACCAAACAUACUCUACUAAACCACAAACGAAUGACUGAAAGCCAGCUAGUGAUUGGGCUUUCAUGGGAACAGAAGCUGCCAACUUUGUCAUCAGGAACACAUGGGUCUGUUUACUGAUCAACAAGGAAAAAAACAAGCCCCAUGAUGAGUCUCUGAGUAAAUCAGACUGAAGCGAGUGCACUUUUGGAGAUCCCAAUCCGAGCUCGUUGAUGGACUCUUCGUCCCUCCGAAUGACCCAAGAAAGUUAAACAGGUUGAUGAGAAAGCAACUCAAAGAUACUGCCGGCAAGAGUUGGAAACGCUAGGUUCAAAAGAUAGAAGAAAAGAAUCGGUGAGCCGGAAAUGAUAAUUGGAAGAGAAAGGGCCGUCAAUCAAGUACGCAAAGCAAAGAAGGCACUGAGCCACUCACAUAUAUUCACCAUUCUUUUAUCAGAUUUUUCGAGACUCAGAGAGAAACAUAAAGAAGGCAAUACUUGUACCAUACAGACAUGAGACAGAAUUCCUUGACCUAAAUUGAACUCCUUGGCUAGAUUCUCGAGUGCUUUAGAAUAUUGAUCUUCGAAACACCAUUCCUUGACAUAAUUUGAACUUCUUGCUUGUAUCUAUGCAAAUCAAGGUAAAACCUUAGAACCUCCUACUCUCUAAAGAAAGGCAGAAAUGCCAUUUAAUGA